This 1036-nucleotide ribosomal RNA is filed under the name Bacteroides ovatus. RNAcentral's name for it is "bacterial SSU rRNA". It matches the Rfam family "Bacterial small subunit ribosomal RNA", at positions 213 to 1252 of the family's 1533-position model. The record is from RNAcentral. Lineage: Bacteria; Pseudomonadati; Bacteroidota; Bacteroidia; Bacteroidales; Bacteroidaceae.
UUUCGGUUAUCGAUGGGGAUGCGUUCCAUUAGUUUGUUGGCGGGGUAACGGCCCACCAAGACUACGAUGGAUAGGGGUUCUGAGAGGAAGGUCCCCCACAUUGGAACUGAGACACGGUCCAAACUCCUACGGGAGGCAGCAGUGAGGAAUAUUGGUCAAUGGGCGAGAGCCUGAACCAGCCAAGUAGCGUGAAGGAUGAAGGCUCUAUGGGUCGUAAACUUCUUUUAUAUGGGAAUAAAGUUUUCCACGUGUGGAAUUUUGUAUGUACCAUAUGAAUAAGGAUCGGCUAACUCCGUGCCAGCAGCCGCGGUAAUACGGAGGAUCCGAGCGUUAUCCGGAUUUAUUGGGUUUAAAGGGAGCGUAGGUGGAUUGUUAAGUCAGUUGUGAAAGUUUGCGGCUCAACCGUAAAAUUGCAGUUGAAACUGGCAGUCUUGAGUACAGUAGAGGUGGGCGGAAUUCGUGGUGUAGCGGUGAAAUGCUUAGAUAUCACGAAGAACUCCGAUUGCGAAGGCAGCUCACUAGACUGUCACUGACACUGAUGCUCGAAAGUGUGGGUAUCAAACAGGAUUAGAUACCCUGGUAGUCCACACAGUAAACGAUGAAUACUCGCUGUUUGCGAUAUACAGUAAGCGGCCAAGCGAAAGCAUUAAGUAUUCCACCUGGGGAGUACGCCGGCAACGGUGAAACUCAAAGGAAUUGACGGGGGCCCGCACAAGCGGAGGAACAUGUGGUUUAAUUCGAUGAUACGCGAGGAACCUUACCCGGGCUUAAAUUGCAACAGAAUAUAUUGGAAACAGUAUAGCCGUAAGGCUGUUGUGAAGGUGCUGCAUGGUUGUCGUCAGCUCGUGCCGUGAGGUGUCGGCUUAAGUGCCAUAACGAGCGCAACCCUUAUCUUUAGUUACUAACAGGUCAUGCUGAGGACUCUAGAGAGACUGCCGUCGUAAGAUGUGAGGAAGGUGGGGAUGACGUCAAAUCAGCACGGCCCUUACGUCCGGGGCUACACACGUGUUACAAUGGGGGGUACAGAAGGCGGCUA